GAUGAAGAACGUAGCGAAAUGCGAUAAGUAGUGUGAAUUGCAGAAUUCAGUGAAUCAUCGAAUCUUUGAACGCACAUUGCGCCCUUUGGUAUUCCUUAGGGCAUGCCUGUUCGAGCGUCAUUUACGAAUUCAAGCUCAGCUUGGUGAUGGGUGUCUGUCCCGCCUCCGCGCGUGGACUCGCCUCAAAUGCAGUUGGCAGCUUAUCCCUCGGCUCUAAACGCAGCAGAUUUGCGUCGAGCGUCGAGCGGACGGGCUCUCCAGUAAGCAAACCCCCCCAAAAUUGACCUCGGAUCAGGUAGGGAUACCCGCUGAACUUAAGCAUAUCAAUAAGCGGAGGA
This 338-nucleotide unclassified non-coding RNA is filed under the name soil metagenome. Its description in RNAcentral is "partial contains 5.8S ribosomal RNA, internal transcribed spacer 2, and large subunit ribosomal RNA". The stretch from base 1 to 120 matches the Rfam family "5.8S ribosomal RNA", at positions 35 to 154 of the family's 154-position model. The record is from RNAcentral.